Molecule: long non-coding RNA, 2395 nt
Filed under: Pan troglodytes (chimpanzee)
Lineage: Eukaryota; Metazoa; Chordata; Mammalia; Primates; Hominidae
Description: lincRNA
Source: RNAcentral
GGGCGGGCGCUUUACGGCAAACUCAGGUAGAAUUCUUCCUUUUCCGUCUCUUUCUUUUUAUGUCACCAGGGGAGGACUGGGUGGCCAACCCAGAGCCCCGAGAGAUGCUAGGCUCUUUCUGUCCCGCCCUUCCUCUGACUAUGUCUUGAUUUCCUAUUCUGAGAGGCUAUUGCUCAGCGGUUUCCGUGGCAACAGUAAAGCGUGGGAAUUACAGAUAAAUUAAAACUGUGGAACCCCUUUCCUCGGCUGCCGCCAAGGUGCUCGGUCCUUCCGAGGAAGCUAAGGCCGCGUUGGGGUGAGACCCUCACUUCAUCCGCUCUAAAACCAGCUCCAUCACUUGAAAUGGCAAAAUAAAUCAUGAAUGAGGCCGGGGGCUGUGGCUCACACCUGUAAUCCCAGCACUCUGGGGGGCCGAGGCAGGCAGAUCACGAGGUCAGGAGAUCGAGACCAUCCUGGCUAACAUGGUGUAAGGGAGGAGACCACCCCUCAUAUUGUCUUAUGCCCAAUUUCUGCCUCCAAAGAAAGAAAAAGUAAAAACCAAAGGGCAGAAAUGACAUCCACAAGCAGACACCCCAGGUGCCACACCCUGGGCCUGGUAGUUAAAAAUCAACCCCUGACCUGAUUGGUAUGUUAUCUAUAGAUUACAGACAUUGUAUAGAAAAGCACUGUGACAAUGCCUUUCCUGUUUUGUUCCGAUCUAGUUACUGGUGCAUGCAGCCCCCAGUCAUGUACCCCCUGCUUGCUCAAUUGAUCACGACCCUCUCACGCGCACCCCCUUAGAGUUGUGAGCCCUUAAAAGGGACAGGAAUUGCUCACUCGGGGAACUUGGCUCUUGAGACCGGAGUCUUGCCGAUGCCCCUGGCCUAAUAAACCCCUUCCUUCUUUAACUCGGUGUCUGAGGAGUUUUGUCUGCAGCUCGAUUUCUCGGUUCCCUGACUGGGAAGCGAGGUGAAUGGCGGAUGGUCAAGGCAGCUCCUUAGGCGGCUUAAACCUGCCCUGUGGAACAUCCCUGCAGGGGACUCCAACCAGCCCGAGCAACACGGAUCCUGAGGGCACUCCUGGUUAGGCAUUUGCCCCAUUGGGACGCCUCGCCAGAGCAGUGUAUGGCAGGCCCCCAUGGAGGAUCAACGCAGUGGCUGAACACCGGGAAGGAACGGGCACUUGGAGUCUGGACAUCUAAAACUUGGUAAGAGUAGUCUUUGAAACUUGCCCACUCCAUUUGAGUGGAAGCAUGGCCUGAUCACCCAUGGCGUGCCUUUAUCGGCACUUUGGUUUUGGUUUGAAUUGCUUGACAGGAUUGGUCUUGGGAACUUGCCUACUCCAUUUGAGUGGUAGUGUGGCCUGAUCACCCAUGGUGUGCCUGUCCUGGCACUUUGGUUUUUGUUUUUGACUUGACUUGGAUUGCUUGAUACUUUGGUUUUGGUUUUGACCUGGCUUGGAUUUCUGGAUACUCUGAUUUUGGUUUGGUGCAAACUGCAAAACUGUGUGUGCGCCCUUUUUACCGGUUCUUUGUUUUGUGGUGUGUUUGUGGUGUGAGCGUGGUGUUUUGUCUUGAAGAAGCAUAGGUCAGGCAUGAAUAAGCCCACCCCACUAGGAACUAUGUUGACAAAUUUCAAAAAAGAAUCUGAGGGAGACUAUGGAGUGCUAUGACACCAGGAAAACUUAAAACUUUGUGUAAGAUAGACUGGCCAGCAUUAGAGGUAGGUUGGCCAUUAGAAGGAAGCCUGGACAGGUCCCUUGUUUCAAAGGUAUGGCACAAGGUAACCUAUAAGCCAAGGAACCCAGACCAGUUCCCUUACAGAGACACUUGAUUAGAGCUGGUUUUAGACCCCCCCACCCCCAACACAUAGUGGUUGAGAGAACAGCAGCAUAAGUGGCUGGCAGAGGCAAGGAAAGACCAGCAGAGAGAGAGAAAGGAAAGAGACAGAGAGGAAAAGAGAGAGAGGAAGAGACAGGAAGAGACAGACAGAGAGUCAAGGAUAGAGAGAGAGAGACACACACACACACACAGAGAGAGAGAGGAAGAGACAGAGGCAAAAGGAAAGUCAAAGAGAGAGACAAAGUCAAAGAGAGAGAGAAAGAGAGAGAGAGAGAUACAAAGUUAAGAAAAAAAAGCCAUCUAUACCAAUUCUAAUUUAGACAAAACAAGGUCUUAUUAAUAGCAAAGGAUAAUUAAAAUCCCAAACUUACAAGGUUUUCUUUUUAUUAUUAUUAUUAUUAUUAUACUUUAAGUUUUAGGGUACAUGUGCACAACAUGCAUUUUUUUUAAAUUUUUUUUAAAGGUUUUCAACUAAAGUUUGCUAAAAGUUAACAGUGUAACAUGUAUAUAGUAACUUCUAUUCUUGUGGCCUUAGACAGUCUAGUCCACAGACACAAAAAAGGUUCGCUUUGGAAA